Molecule: ribosomal RNA, 682 nt
Filed under: Bacillus siamensis
Lineage: Bacteria; Bacillati; Bacillota; Bacilli; Caryophanales; Bacillaceae
Description: bacterial SSU rRNA
Rfam family: Bacterial small subunit ribosomal RNA
Source: RNAcentral
GCGGCGGACGGGUGAGUAACACGUGGGUAACCUGCCUGUAAGACUGGGAUAACUCCGGGAAACCGGGGCUAAUACCGGAUGGUUGUUUGAACCGCAUGGUUCAGACAUAAAAGGUGGCUUCGGCUACCACUUACAGAUGGACCCGCGGCGCAUUAGCUAGUUGGUGAGGUAACGGCUCACCAAGGCAACGAUGCGUAGCCGACCUGAGAGGGUGAUCGGCCACACUGGGACUGAGACACGGCCCAGACUCCUACGGGAGGCAGCAGUAGGGAAUCUUCCGCAAUGGACGAAAGUCUGACGGAGCAACGCCGCGUGAGUGAUGAAGGUUUUCGGAUCGUAAAGCUCUGUUGUUAGGGAAGAACAAGUGCCGUUCAAAUAGGGCGGCACCUUGACGGUACCUAACCAGAAAGCCACGGCUAACUACGUGCCAGCAGCCGCGGUAAUACGUAGGUGGCAAGCGUUGUCCGGAAUUAUUGGGCGUAAAGGGCUCGCAGGCGGUUUCUUAAGUCUGAUGUGAAAGCCCCCGGCUCAACCGGGGAGGGUCAUUGGAAACUGGGGAACUUGAGUGCAGAAGAGGAGAGUGGAAUUCCACGUGUAGCGGUGAAAUGCGUAGAGAUGUGGAGGAACACCAGUGGCGAAGGCGACUCUCUGGUCUGUAACUGACGCUGAGGAGCGAAAGCGU